This 711-nucleotide ribosomal RNA is filed under the name uncultured bacterium. Its description in RNAcentral is "bacterial SSU rRNA". It matches the Rfam family "Bacterial small subunit ribosomal RNA", at positions 94 to 802 of the family's 1533-position model. The record is from RNAcentral.
AGCGGCGGACGGGUGAGUAACGCGUAGGAAUCUACCCAGUAGUGGGGGACAACUCGGGGAAACUCGAGCUAAUACCGCAUACGCCCUAAGGGGGAAAGCAGGGGAUCUUCGGACCUUGCGCUAUCGGAUGAGCCUGCGUCGGAUUAGCUUGUUGGUGAGGUAAUGGCUCACCAAGGCGACGAUCCGUAGCUGGUCUGAGAGGAUGAUCAGCCACACUGGGACUGAGACACGGCCCAGACUCCUACGGGAGGCAGCAGUGGGGAAUAUUGGACAAUGGGGGAAACCCUGAUCCAGCCAUGCCGCGUGUGUGAAGAAGGCUCUAGGGUUGUAAAGCACUUUCAGUAGGGAGGAAAAGUUGAUAGCUAAUAACUGUCAGCCCUGACGUUACCUACAGAAGAAGCACCGGCAAACUCCGUGCCAGCAGCCGCGGUAAUACGGAGGGUGCGAGCGUUAAUCGGAAUUACUGGGCGUAAAGCGCGCGUAGGCGGUUUGAUAAGCUGGAUGUGAAAGCCCCGGGCUCAACCUGGGAACUGCAUCCAGAACUGUCUGACUAGAGUACAGUAGAGGUGAGUGGAAUUUCCUGUGUAGCGGUGAAAUGCGUAGAUAUAGGAAGGACAUCAGUGGCGAAGGCGGCUCACUGGACUGAUACUGACGCUGAGGUGCGAAGGCGUUGGCAGCCAAACAGUAUAGAUUCCUGGGUAGUCAACGCCG